CAUUAGGCGCGUGCGUGCGUGCGUGUUGGUAGAGAGGGGAUUCAGUUCAGGCAUGGCACAAAUUACACUCUUCAAUCUCUCUGUCUGGACUGGGUGGGAUCCGUGAUUUCAACAGAACUAGACUUCACAGCUAUGGAUCCUGACGACAUGGACGAAGAUCAACUGCUUGAUUACGCUAUUCAGAUGAGCAUUCAAGAGUCAUGCCCCAAAUAUUAUUAUCAUCUUUAGAGAGGUAAUGCAUGAUACGAAUACACUUCUGAAAAUACUACAUGUCCUAGUCUACUUUUGCAUUUUGCUAUAUGCUGUCAUUGUUGAGAUCAAAAUGACAUGAACACUUUUAUUAAUAUUAUGCUUACAUAAAUUAUUUUGGAACACUGUCUGAACAUGAUCUCCUCUGUUUCAAUAUUCUCAGUGAUGAACAUCUGAAGAUCCUAAAGGCUAUUGAUCGAGGUAAAUGCAUUGUAACUCUGUCUGAUUACUGAGAUUGUCAUUUUCACAUUCAGGGUUUUAUGGGUAACACUUUACUUGACUUGACACCCAGCAACAACACAUUAUGACUGUGUUAUGACGCUGGGUGUCAUGUAAAGUCCUACUGUUUUAUUUCAAUUAUGAACCAGGUUGGAUAGGCAUUUUUUGCAAAAAUAUAUUACAUUGGCCCACUAAAUGAAUGCACAGCCCACGCAAAGCAAACCGUGGUGUUGUAUCUCACACUGCUGAUGUACUGUACUCAAAAAAACUUUGCAAUGAAACUGCAUCAAGCCC
RNAcentral lists this long non-coding RNA (762 nucleotides) under Salmo salar (Atlantic salmon). RNAcentral describes it as "lncRNA (ENSSSAG00000086633.1)". The record is from RNAcentral. Lineage: Eukaryota; Metazoa; Chordata; Actinopteri; Salmoniformes; Salmonidae.